This is an RNA transcript of Quercus lobata, 1101 nucleotides long. It is a transcript of the gene named OVARIAN TUMOR DOMAIN-containing deubiquitinating enzyme 4-like, with no coding region annotated. NCBI's taxonomy places the organism in Eukaryota, Viridiplantae, Streptophyta, Magnoliopsida, Fagales, Fagaceae. The record is from RefSeq and is a predicted model, not a curated record. The transcript has 7 exons.
GCUUUUACACAUCGUUUUAUAUACAAGAACCCGUGUAUAAUCUUCUAACAUGGGUUUUCUCCUUAUCAUAUGAGGCAUAUUAUGCGGAAACGGGAAAUUUCACUUGGUAACGACCGGCCUCAGUUUCGAAUAAUUUGCAUACCUGGAGAUGGAAGAUGUUUGUUCCGGUCUGUUGUUCAUGGUGCUAGCUUGAGAGAAGGGAAGCCAUCUCCGUCUGAGAGCUGUCAGAAAGAACUUGCGGAUGAGCUCAGAGCUAAAGUGGCAGAUGAAUUCAUUAGGAGGCGAGCAGACACUGAAUGGUUUCUUGAAGGUGAUUUUGACACGUAUGUUAAACAGAUGCGACAGCCCCACAUGUGGGGAGGAGAGCCCGAGUUGCUAAUGGCCUCCCAUGUCCUACAGUCGCCAAUCACGGUUUCCAUGUGGGAUAAGAGUUCUGGUAACCUCAAAAUUAUAGCUGAAUAUGGUCAAGAGUAUGGUAAGGAGAACCCCAUACGGGUGCUUUAUCACGGUUAUGGACAUUAUGACGCAUUAAGGAGUCCAAUUAGUAGUGCAGAAUCAAAGUUGCCUUUUAUGGGGAGAAAAUAUUAGGUCCACUGGGAAGAUUGCUGAAGUAGUUCUCUCAACCAAUGAAACACUGCCACCUAUGCAAGUGUGUGAGUGAGCUUUCUAAUUAGCACAAGGGGAAAAACAAAAAACAAAAAACUACCGAGAAAUGUCACAUAUGCAUAGAUGACAGUGUUUUAUUGCUCGGCAGGGCCAAAGAGGACCACGUCACCGGUCUUCUUGGUGGACCUAAUAAUUUCUACUUUAUAGGCACAAGAAAAGAUGAAGGGAUAGCUGCAAAGGAGUAUAGUCAUCUUUGAAAUCUUUAAGUGUGCUUUGUUGUAACAUGUUAUAAACAAAUUACACCGCCCUCCCCCAAAAAAGUUAUAAAUGAAUAGUAGUUUUAUUUGGUGUAGUAAAUUGAUGAUAUCAUUUCUUCAUGGAUUUGAAAUCACCUUUUAUCAAAUUCUAAUGUUUGUUCUGGAAAUUAAAAUGCCCAUUGUCACUCUCCUAUUUGGUUGGAGGGUCUACUAGUUAGAGUAACAAUGACCAAAUUAG